AGGUGGCUGGACACGCAUGGCAGAGAUGGACAGCGUCGAUUGGCUGAGACUGGGGGAGAGCGCGACGUCCGUCAACUCCCCUCGGACCAACCUGGGGUCAGGUAACACGAUAGUCCCACCCAUUCCCGAACCGGGCGGCUACGGAUUGGCUGGGAUUGGGGAGAACGGGGUGUCCAUCAACCACCCACGGACCCGCCAUUGGUCUAUGGGCACGUGAAGAUGACUGGUCUGGGACCCGCCCACGUGAUGAUGCUGCUGCUGCUGAAUGGACAGGUCUCAGAAAAAUGAGCUCAGAACCAUGAGGAUCUUAUGCAAGGGAGGCAUGACAUUGACCAGUCUUGAAGACGGGACGAAACAUCUAAAAGAAGGAUCAGAGACAUCUUUUGUGAGACAGAGCACUGUGAAGAGGAGACCUGAGUUCAGAACAUAGAGACAAAUACAACUUGUUGGAGUGAACCAGCCAGUUCAUCACACAUGGACAAUUCUGAAAUUAGCGGGGCUUGACUGCCAGUGAACUACUUCAGCAAGCUGUGACAGACUGCUUACUUAAUGUCAGUCAUGGGUAAAGUUUAACUUUCUCCAGCUCAACGAUGGGAAGACUGAAGCCAUUACCUUUGAUCCUUACCACAAUUUUUCAAUUCCUUACCGAUACUUUUAAACUCCCUCCUCAUCUUCAAUCGGGCUCAUGGUACCGUUCAACCCUGAGGUGAGCUCCCUAUUCCAAAUC
Long non-coding RNA from Hemiscyllium ocellatum (epaulette shark), 727 nucleotides. RefSeq lists it as uncharacterized. The transcript has 3 exons. The record is from RefSeq and is a predicted model, not a curated record. NCBI's taxonomy places the organism in Eukaryota, Metazoa, Chordata, Chondrichthyes, Orectolobiformes, Hemiscylliidae.